Mesocricetus auratus (golden hamster) is the source of this 2515-nucleotide long non-coding RNA. RefSeq lists it as uncharacterized. The record is from RefSeq and is a predicted model, not a curated record. The transcript has 2 exons. NCBI's taxonomy places the organism in Eukaryota, Metazoa, Chordata, Mammalia, Rodentia, Cricetidae.
UCUCUGUAUAUUUUAUUUUUCAUGUUACAUGUGUCUUUUUGGGUGUUUCCAGGGAAGUUUAACUGAGGAUGCAAAGACUGGAGCGGCAGGAUCCCACUGAGUGAGGUUCCUUACUGUACUAAAAGAACUGUGGAAAAUAUGAUUGAAACUUUAAUGGAGGUUACAUUGAAUCUGUUGACCAUAAUCAAUAGUAUGACCACUUUUAAAUGUUAAUUCUACCCACCAAUGAACACUGGUCUUUUUUAUUUCUAGUGCCUGCUUCAACUUCUUCAAUGUUCAACAAAGCAAUUUUGAACAAAAACAAAAGCGCAACGUUCAGUGAUAUAACAAUUAAAUUCAAAUAACAGAAACCAGAGCUUGUUAUGUUUUGAAGCAUUUUCGUCUCAAGGAGAUAACACUGCUUUGGGAUUUUCAACUAUCAUCAGAGAAGCAAUUAACACAGAGAACUGCAACUGGUCAAAGUGCAGAGAAUAUGAGUCUCUAGAAUGCUUGGCCCUAAAUGAGACCUCUAUAUCUUGCCAGGCCCUCUCCAGACUCAGGGACCAUCAUGGAGAGCAGACAGCUGAAACUCAGAGCCAGAGGCAGUGAAUGAGUGCAUGGACAUGGUAUCUUCAGGACAAAAGAGGACAGAUACACAUAUGAGUUCAUGGAAGUUGUGACAAGAUAGGCAAGACAUAUGCAAGCUCAAGCCAGACAAAAUUUCAAUUUGUAAAAGGGAAGUGGGUGGGCAGGAAGUACCACCCCUAACUGAGGAGCUUUUGGAAAAUUGAUAACUGUUCAGAGAGAGAGAGUGGAUUUUCUUUAAGUGUUUGGCUCAUGGCAUGUGGACCAGGCUCCAGUGGAAUGACAUACAUACAAGUGCAUAUGGACAGCACAAAUUGGACUUCAUGGUUAAAAUAAAAAUAAAUAAAUAAAAAAACACAUGGAGAGGGUUAGAUAGGUAAAGGUUAGUGAAUUUGGGAGAACUUGGAUGAAAGGGGUCAACGUAAUAAAAAUUCGUUGUAUAAAAUUCUCAAAAAAACCUCUUCAGAAACAAAUUCCAGAAGUUACUUGCUCUGUGGUAUACAAUACACCAUUCUGAUGUUACCUAUUUGUGUUAUCCACUUCCAGACAACUGGCCUGUGUGCAUAAUCUUUUCCCCACAUGGAAUGAAAAAGUAAGAUUUGAUAAUGGAAUUUUCACAAGGGGAAAGUUAAUUGUCGUAUUAAAAACAAUGAAGUUCUGGCCCCACCAGACCUCUUUUAAUUUACAAUACAAGAAUGCAAAUUAAGCCAAGUUUAUAUUUUUUAAGAGAUACAGUGUAAUUUUUUUAAAUACUUGCUUGAAUCAGCUAACAGUAUUUUCAAUUAAGUCCGUCCAAGCUUGUGCCAAUGAAGGGAUCAAAUUCAUGUAGAGAUAGUAGCCAGGGUUCAUCAUUUUAAAAAUACUGUUAGCUGUUUCACACACAUAUCUGAAAAAACCAAUAAGCUACAUCUCUCAAAAUGUAAACUCAGCUUAAUUUAGACUGCUUUCUAUUUUAAUUCAAACUGUUUCUUGGCUCAAUUUUUCAAUAUUGGAAGAUAAGGCAAUGUAUGAAUUUAUAUUGUUCACCAAUUAAUAGUCACAGUAGGUAUAUCUCAGAAGCAAAAGUACUAUCCCUACCCAAGUGCAGUUUUGAGAGUGCUUUAUUCUGCAUUGUUAAUCAUAUGCAAAUAUGUAUUAGGACUGUUGAUACAUCCAUCUUUUUAAUGUCUUUAUAGCUUGUUAAAGUGAAGUUGAAGGAGCUCCUGGAGGAGUGAUACACUGCAUAUAAUGGACUUGGGAAUGAAAACUUUGGUUCUAUAUGCUUAAUUAGUUUCUAAUUUCUCAGUAAUCUCAUCAUGAGUCUCUAACAGAAAGUAAUAUUGACCAUCCAUAUGGUACAAGUGGGUGCUGGCAUUUUAGAUCAUUCUCUGGAGGGCUCAGUAAAUUAUUUACUAAGCCUAAUGUACUACUAAUUCAAAUUAAACUUCACCUCCAGUGUAAUUGUAAAUUUGGUGAGUAAAUAGCACCCUAUAAUCAUCAUAGGCUUAUUAUUAGAAUUAAGUGAAAUCAUGUGCCCAGCACAAUGUCUGUGAAUAAAAUAAAUGAACAACCCACUCUGCUCCAUUUAAGAAAUUAGUUCACAUUGUACUUCCUAUCAGGGAAGGAGAAGGCAUACCUUGUACCUGAGUAAUCAAAUGAAAAUCAGGUGAACACAAUGAUAGCAACAUGAAACAGUCAAUCUGUCAAUUUAAUUCUACAAAUUAAAGCUGUCCUGGAACUUAUCAAUUUGCUAAUAUGAGUGUCUUGACCUUGUGCCUGCAAUGUUGGUCUCUGGAGACACACAUCAAUCUUGAUCAGUUAUAUGCCAAAGUUAUUGCUAUUUUGUUGUCAAUAUUUGUUAUAUUAAAUGUCAAUUUUAUUGUCUUUUGUUUUUUUAACUUUAAAUGCAAAUACUGCCAAACCUCUGUGCUAAUAAAAACUUUCCUGCAAAUAAAGUUAGUUUCUUUGUUAA